GACGAACGCUGGCGGCGUGCUUAACACAUGCAAGUCGAACGGAAAGGCCCUGCUUUUGUGGGGUGCUCGAGUGGCGAACGGGUGAGUAACACGUGAGUAACCUGCCCUUGACUUUGAGAUAACUUCAGGAAACUGGGGCUAAUACCGGAUAGGAGCUCCUGCUGCAUGGUGGGGGUUGGAAAGUUUCGGCGGUUGGGGAUGGACUCGCGGCUCAUCAGCUUGUUGGUGGGGUAGUGGCUUACCAAGGCUUUGACGGGUAGCCGGCCUGAGAGGGUGACCGGCCACAUUGGGACUGAGAUACGGCCCAGACUCCUACGGGAGGCAGCAGUGGGGAAUAUUGCACAAUGGGCGGAAGCCUGAUGCAGCAACGCCGCGUGCGGGAUGACGGCCUUCGGGUUGUAAACCGCUUUCGCCUGUGACGAAGCGUGAGUGACGGUAAUGGGUAAAGAAGCACCGGCUAACUACGUG
Molecule: ribosomal RNA, 468 nt
Filed under: uncultured bacterium
Lineage: Bacteria
Description: partial 16S ribosomal RNA
Rfam family: Bacterial small subunit ribosomal RNA
Source: RNAcentral